UAUUGGACAAUGGGGGAAACCCUGAUCCAGCGACGCCGCGUGAGUGAAGAAGUAUUUCGGUAUGUAAAGCUCUAUCAGCAGGGAAGAAAGAAAUGACGGUACCUGAGUAAGAAGCCCCGGAUAACUACGUGCCAGAAGCCGCGGUAAUACGUAGGGGGCAAGCGUUAUCCGGAAUUACUGGGUGUAAAGGGAGCGUAGACGGCAGCGCAAGUCUGGAGUGAAAUGCCGGGGCCCAACCCCGGAACUGCUUUGGAAACUGUGCGGCUCGAGUGCGGGAGAGGUAGGCGGAAUUCCUAGUGUAGCGGUGAAAUGCGAAGAUAUUAGGAGGAACACCAGUGGCGAAGGCGGCUUACUGGACCGUAACUGACGUUGAGGCUCGAAAGCGUGGGGAGCAAACA
RNAcentral lists this ribosomal RNA (398 nucleotides) under uncultured bacterium. Its description in RNAcentral is "bacterial SSU rRNA". It matches the Rfam family "Bacterial small subunit ribosomal RNA", at positions 362 to 774 of the family's 1533-position model. The record is from RNAcentral.